GCAGAUGUAGCCUAGCUGGUAAGACGCCGGCUUCGAGAGCCGGUGCGCGAAAGCGCUCGUGGGUUCGAAUCCCUCCAUCUGCG
RNAcentral lists this transfer RNA (83 nucleotides) under Promethearchaeota archaeon. RNAcentral describes it as "Candidatus Lokiarchaeota archaeon (microbial mat metagenome) tRNA-Ser". It matches the Rfam family "tRNA". From Rfam's summary of the family: Transfer RNA (tRNA) molecules are approximately 80 nucleotides in length. Lineage: Archaea; Promethearchaeati; Promethearchaeota. The record is from RNAcentral.